This 1960-nucleotide long non-coding RNA is filed under the name Homo sapiens (human). RNAcentral describes it as "HSALNT0381930". Lineage: Eukaryota; Metazoa; Chordata; Mammalia; Primates; Hominidae. The record is from RNAcentral.
GAGAUCAUGCUUCAUAAAACACCUGGUUCUUUGUGUAUCUGUCACACAAGGGAUAACCAAUAUGACUAUUUGGUUACAUUUGGCUUUUGUUGCUUAGUUUAUUCUUACAUAGAUGGGCAGCUGGAUGUUAGGGAAAAACAGGGACAGGAAAGAGACUCCAUCCAGUGGCUCUCUGAAGAUUCACCCUUGUUAUCAGUCACUUGGGAUUCUGUUAUCAGAAUUUGGGAUUGCUUGUUAUCACAGCAUUACCUAGUCUACCCUGACUAAUACAAGGGCACUUUGAGAAUCUGAUGGAAGCUCAGGCCACAAGAAAACUGCACAUUCAUGCAAAAUUCAGAACCUUUCAAUUUUAAUGUCUUGAGAUUUCGUUGUGUUUCUAAGAUCCUUGAUGUCCCACAGCCUCCUCUUCUCAGCCUUGGAAUCUGAGGCACCUGGGUUGUAAGUGAUGCUAUGUCAGUGUUCACAAAGGCUCACAAGUCUGCGAAGUGGCCAAGAUGAGCUGACCCUGUCACCAUGGAGCAAGGCCUAUGUGUGCAAAUGAGUCAUGAGCUGAGAGGAAAGAGCUUGAGCCUGAGCUUUUUUUUUUCUUUUCUUUUCUUUUCUUUUUAUGAUGAUUGCUUGAGCCUGAGCUUGUUUGCCAGAUGCUUUCACUAGCCCAAGCUUGUUUUGUGGAUGCUUUCUGCUGCCAGCUACUUUGUAGUCCCUCCUGUGUGACAGCAUCUUGCCAUCAACGGGCUGCAGAAGAAGGGGUGCUUGUUGCUAUUGUGAGCAAACACUGCAUAAACAAUCAGCUCACAUGUGUGUCCCAGAGCGUAUGACCAAUGACCUGGAGAACUCUCAGGCUGUGGGGUGGAGAGAAGGCCAUUCUGAGGUCAACUGAAACCUCACUUGAGGGGCAGUUCCGUAGAUGGGAAUGAGGAGAGAGUCAUGGCCACAGCCACCUGGCCAAGGAGAGAGGCCAUAACUGCCAGACAGAACCAAGGAUGGAGGGACUUCAGCAGCACGAACAAUCCACACUCAGCAUGGGUCACUCUCUGGGACACACAUUUCCCUCUGGCUGAAAGGCUGAGCUGCUCCAGGGCCAACUGUGAGGUCAGACAGCUGCCCAGGGAUGUCUCCAGCCACUCAAGGGAAGAAGAGACCACUCACCUGUAAUUUCAACAGCAACAAAAGACCUGAGGUUCCACCAUCAGAACUUCACGCCCUAAGGAAGAUGCAGCAUUUCCUGUAAAAUGCAAGUGCUCCCAGGCAGAGAGCCAGAAUUGAUUUCGUGGCUUUCUUUCUCCUCUUCUGGGAUUUUGUGCCCUAUUGCCACAGAAACCCUGGGCCCCUUCCCCAGCUGUCAUGAAGGUGCCUGAGUGAUGGUCAGAGAGAUGACCGGAGGGGCCCACCCGGCCACCGCAGCAGCAGCAGCCAAGGCGGGACUAAGCCUCCACACCCCACAUCUCAGUCGUGGCCAGCCCGGGAUGCCUGCCUCUCCUGCCCUGUGGUGUUGCUGUCCUCAUAUGACCCUUCAGUCCCCCGACAUCUGGACAGGCUUUAGGGACCUGCUUGAGCAGAACAUGGUAGAAGUGAUGGACUGGGGCUUCUGAGGCUAAGCCAUAAGAAGCCUUGAGAAUUUCACCUGGCCCUCACUGUCUCUGGGAGCCCUGAGCCAUGAUAGAAGAAGUCCUUCCUAUAUUGAAUGUCCUUGAGACCUCCAGUACUGGAAAGGGCAUUUGUAGAUGCUCAGACCAACAGUCCAAACUGAGCCCAGUCUGCCAACUUGCCCUGCCAAGGUGUCAGAUGCAUAUGUGAAUGAGACCAUCCUAGACCUGCUGAUAGCCCAUCACCCGGCUGACUGCUACUGAGUAACCUCUGCCAACUUCACGCCGAACACAGAACUGCUGAUUUGAACUCUGCCUGAAUUUCUUGGCCCACAGAACAAUGAGAUAUAAUUAAAAGGCAAUGGUUCAAGCCA